This 7086-nucleotide long non-coding RNA is filed under the name Homo sapiens (human). Its description in RNAcentral is "HSALNT0268978". The record is from RNAcentral. Lineage: Eukaryota; Metazoa; Chordata; Mammalia; Primates; Hominidae.
CAGCUAGUUUUUUCCCCCUUCUUCUCCAUUUGCUUUAAAAAAAUUUUUUUUUCUUUAAAAGUAUGAAGCUUUGAGACGCUGUGUCUCUUGGAUUACUCAGGAGAUAAGGCAUUUGUGCUUUGAGUAAUGACAGCAAUAACUGUUUACUGAAUAAUUUUUGUGUCAAGACUGACUGUAUACUUUGUGGAGCCCCAUGCAAAUGGGAAUGUGGCGCCCACUAUUCGACAAUUAUUGAGAAUUUCAAGACGGCAGAGCAUUACCCAAAGUACAGGUCCCUUCUCCGUGGAACUGUGCAGAUGGCAUGUCCAUGAAGCUGGCUCCGACUGGGUUAAUUCUUCACAUCUGUGGCCAUCUGAAGAAGAUCUUAUCUUCCCAGCAGCAAAAGCUUUCCUUCUUUUCCUGCUCCAAGAAAAGGCAAAGUGACUGGGUUGAUGGGACUCCACGGGACUAACAAUGGUUGGCCCCUGAACUGUUUUCUAAGGAUGGAAUCAGCGAAAACUGCCUGGCUUUUGUUUUGCUGGCCAGAUCAUGCAAGCUGUGAAUUGAAUUACUAGGGAAAGGAGAAAAAUAGUUGAGAGGCAGUGUUGGGAAUGUUAGGCUGAAGGAAAAACAAAGAGAACUAGAAGACGUCGGGGCCCAUAGUGGAACUUUGAGAAAUGAACAGAUGCGUUUAAAAGGCUCCCAUCCUGGUUCCCACAUUACACUGAGUCAUCAUGUCUCCAUAGGCUCCUCCUGGCUGUGACUGUUUCUCAGAUUUUUCUUGUUUUUGGUUGCCUUGAGAGUUGUCAGCGGUAAUGGUCAGGUAGGUACUGAGAAAUUGAGCAAUUCACAAUAGAAUGGAUAUGGCAGCAGCUUCAAAAUUUACAAAAUAGUUGAUUAUGAUCACAUGCUACACCCUCGACUUGCUGAUGGGGCAGCGUGGAUUCAACCAGGAAUGUCCUCCUUCCUGAAUGGAUGAUGAUGGGGCAAACACAGCGUUCCAGUCACUAGACAUGUACCUCCUAUGCAGGUGGGCACACAAGACAGCUGACUAAGGGAAGAAAUGCAUGAGAAAUUUGCAAAGAGGGAAAGCCAAGAGCACCUGUAGUGUUCUGGAGGUAGCUGCACACUGACAUCCCUUCACACCCAGUGGCCUCUUGUGAAAGAGAAGGCAAUGCAAUGCCGUCGGAGACAAAGCCCAGCUGAAGAGAGGCAGUGCACUUGCUGAUGGAUACUAAAUGAAAAGCAGGCAGAAAUCAGCAAUGCAUCCAGCUUCUGUUGAGGGAGAUUCAGUGGAAUGAUUUUUAUAUUUUCAUGAAGAAAUUACAGUUGAAUAUUAAAACCUGGUAUUUCAGUUUAUCUGGUCUGACUCCCAUCUAACUAACCAACAUAGCCAUGGAUUUUGUAAAACUCACUUAGCAAAUCAUCUUAAUUGGUACCAAAAAAGUGAUGGCUAUGGAAAUAUUGGCAUUUCUAUGUGCAUAACUGAUGUUUUUAUGAGGAUAAGAGGGAGAGAAGAAUCACAUUUCAAAGAAGCUUCUACUGAAAUAAACUAACCAGAAGAACUAAUUGUGGCAUACUUAACAGCUUUGAGCUUUAUGUGUACACUACCUAUGUUUCCUGUUCAGCAAGUGAAUGUCCCCAGGCCGGUAGGGGCAAUGUGAAGAUGAAUCUUAUAUCUCCAAUUUCUCGAAGAACAUUUAUUCAUCUUCCUGGAAUUCACUCAUUGCCAGUUCUUUUAGAAAUACUGACACAGUUAAUAGUGUCUAAUGUCGUGGAUGACUGCCUUCCACCGAUGUCGUGACUUCCCACCCAAGAACCAAUGACUUCUUUCUCUGUGAUUCAGCUCUCCACUGACCCUCAUGGGCAAGAGUGGGGUUUCAGCAAUUAUUCUUUCAACCUCUAUUGAUUAAUCACACGAUAUAAGCCAGACACAGUUCUGGGCAGCAGGAUACAAUAGUGAACAAGACAACCCCAAAUCCCUGCUCUUGUGGAACUGACAUUUUCUCAUGGGGUGUGGGGGUUGGGGAAGAAUGAGAGAUGUUAAAUGCAAAACCAAAAUAAAAGAAAUUUUAAGAUCAUGUGAUAGGGAGUGGCUGGCUGGUCAGGGAUAGCCUCUCCAGGACUGGGACAUUCAUGGGAGUUGACAUGUGAAUUAUGAGAAGAAGCCGACAAUGCCAAGAUCACAUGGCAACACGUUUCAUGCAAAAGAAACAGCCAGCAUGAAGCCUGUGAGCUGGGAACAAGACCGGCUCAGGUCAAGGGACAGACAAAAAGGCCAACAAGGCUGAAAAAGAAUAAGGAAGAGGAGAGGGGUGUGAGGUUCAGCAGGAAAGAUCUGAAGGACUGGGUCAGACAGGGUUCUUCAGGACAUGGAAAAGAAUUUGAAUUUUUUAAAUAAAUGCAAUGAGAAGACACUGGAGAAUUUUAAUCAUGAGGGUAACAUAGUCUGUUUUGCAUUUGAAAACUAACAUUGUGACUGUUAGGCAGCAAAUGAAGUUGCCCUCCCCCAGUCCAUCCCUGGCCGUGGUUGAUCGAAACAUAAGUGACCAUCUUACCCGGUGUGUUUUUUGUCACUAUGGAAUUUGCAUUUAGGAACAAAGGGUCUGUGUUUAUUCAAGUGGUCUCUUCAUGGGGCCGAUACUGUAACAUACAUAGCUGGGGGUCUGAGGCAGCCACGUUGUGCCAAGGGCACUGAGGAGAAAAUGGCGGCCUGCUGGAUUCUUCUUUCUUCUGAGGCUCAGGUGACUGCUUGUCCUCAUAUCACUCCACCAGACUGUCAGGAGCUAAGCGGAGCUCGAGAGAGCUGAGCUGCCAGGUGUCAGGGUAGCUGAUUAAGACAACAAGCCAAGAUGAACAGUGAAGGCUUUAAUCAUUUACUGCAAUAGUAUGCACAAGAGACUAAACCAGAGAAAGUGCCGACUCCCCAUCAUUCCAUUUUCCCCAGCGCACCAGCCCUCAUUGAGGGUCUGGAUCAGCACUGAAGCCAAGGGAUUGUCUCACAGCUGAGGGACCCCUGAACAAGAGACUCCCGCCAUCAAAUGGAUCUGGAGCUGGCGGGGGGUGGGGAGAAGGAAGGGCUAUGAGUGUGAAAGUACUGAGCACUGAGUCAGAGUGGAGAAAAACAUCUCCAAGCCUCCCCGCUUCUUCUCCUUGAUAAGGUGACCCCUGCAGAGGUGUCUAAGAUAAGCCUCUGCAGAAAGCCUGUGAUAAAGAGGCCUCCAAAGAGAGGCACCUGGGCCAGGAAUGUGGAUGUGCAUAAGAGCAAGGCUGGCUGGGGGGACUCAGUGCUUGACUGCAACUCCCCUCAGAGACUCAAUGUGUCGGCUGUGCCCCAAGUCUGCAGUGGGGAGGGCAGUUUCUCCCCACGAGGUCUGACAGGUAAAGCCUGGUAUUAAUAAUUGCUUAUGGCCAGAUGUGAAAGUUCACACAUAGGUUUAGGGCUACGAACUGGUACUCCAAACAGACUAUGCUAGGUGCUUACUAUAAACCCAUCUACAGUAGAGCUUGAGUAACUUCUGCUGCUUGAAACUGGCACUCUAACUAAUGAAAUUUAAAAUGAACCCCAAAAUGAGUUAGAGUCAAAUAAUGACAGGAUGUGGGAAAUGAUCACAACAUAGGUAUAGACUCCAGAAAAAUGGGCACCACUACCCAUAAGAAGACGCCCAGAGAUAUCUUGCAGACUAUUUAAAUUGAGAGCAAGAGUUUGAGCCUGUACAGUAUUUCUGGCAAUCCAAAGAGGCAAACCCAGGGGCAGGAGCUAGAGAACUUGAAAUAUAACCAGAGUGGCCUAUCUCUGAGCUUACCUGUUGGCUUACUCUUUGCCAGAAAUUUCUGUUGUGCAACAAGAAUGAUAACAGUUGGGAAGAGAAGAAAGGUGCAAGAGAAGCCCUUGACUAUCUCACCAAACCCAUCCCCUCCCUCUGCUUCCUCCUUCACUCUGCUUUGGCCCCACUGGUCUGCUCCCUGUUGCCCGACAAGUUCACACCCCAGGUCCCUUGUAUAUGCUGUUCCCUUUGCCUGAAUUGCUCUUCCCUUCAGCCCUUGCUAGACUCCUUCAUUCAAGCCUCGGCUGAAACGUCACCAUUUUCAAGAGUGACCUGGCCAUUCCAUCCCAAAUGGCAGUUCUAUCACUUUUUAUCCCCUAACAGUGGUUUCUAUUUUUCUUUAUAAUACUUAUCACAACCUGAUAUUAUGAUUGAUUGCUUUGUUAGUUCUUGUGUCUUCCUGUGCCCACACUAGAAUGUAAGCUCCACGAAGUUGAGAGCUGUUUAGUUCAUAAAUCACUGCAUCCUCAGAGCCUAGAAUAGCACCCAGGAGUUAUUAGUUACUCCAUAAAUAUUAAUUAUAUGAAUGGAUGAAGGAAGAAAUGAAAGAAGGAAGAAAGAAGGAAGAAGGGAAGGCAAGGGAGGGGAAGGGAGGGGAGGAGAGGGAAGGCAAGGGAAGGGAAGGGGACAGGAGGGGAGGGGAGGGGAAGGGGAGGAGAGGGAAGGGAAGGGAAGGGGGAGGAAGGAAGGAAGGAAAGAAGGAAGGAAGGGAGAAAGAAAAAGAUGAGAAAGGGGAAAUAAAAUAUCUUAGAUUCUAAUUAGAGGAGCAAAAAUGAAUUAUAAAAGCCAAACAUGUAAAAUAGAAAAAUCUCUGAGUGUUUUACAUUUAAAGUUAAUCUUAGUUUGUUUUAUUCAUUCGUUUAUUCCUCUAAUAAAUAUUGUCUGAACAUCACAUUCUAGGGUUAUCAGAGAAGGCUGGAUCUUAAAGGUGAAGACCAUAAAGAAAGGACAGUGAGAUCAAAAAGAAAAGAUCUGUGUAGAAACAGUAAAAAAAAAAAACCUCACACAUCAGUGUGUCUGAGCAAAGCCAGGUUGAGAAAUAUUCUUGCUUAACUAUCAAACCUAACAAUAUAUUUUUCAGAUGUGAGAGAUGGAGUAAGAGAAAACCAUACCACAAUGGCUGCUGCCAGGCAGGAGUACGUCUUGGGCUGCUACUGUGGCUUCAUCACGUCCCCAUCCUGUGCUUAGAGGAGACCUCAUGGUUACAAGGUGGCCUCCCUCACUUCUAGGAGGACAUGAUAUCUAAAAUAUUUCACAAAUGGUACAGAUCUGGAGGCCCCUGCUCUUCCAGGAGUUUUUCCCUUUAGAAUCACAGGGAGAUCCAGGGGGCUUGGGCAAGGCACUAAGACAAAGAGGGACACUUGGGGAAUUCAGGAAAGUUGCUAUUUACCAACUGAUGGGAAAGUCUUUCAGCAUUUUCACAACUGCACCACCGUAUCUGUGGUAGCAGCUGAAUAUCCGUCCCAUUUCUAGAAUUCAGGUGGAAGGAGGAGGGAAGAAGAAGGGUGUGGGUUUCUCUUUUAGCAGGGCAUUGCAUUUAUUUCCUAAGAACAUUCUCCCAAGAAACUAAUACCCAAAUCUCACUGGGCCAAAGUAGGCCACGCGACAACUACUAACUGCAAAGGGGCAUGCAUCUGUGUUUUCCAAGCCUCUGCAAUCCAGAGAGGCAAGGAAAAGGGAGUUGUGACUGGCUUUUGGAAAGCCACUUCCCAGUUUCUGCUACACCUUAUCAUUAUGGUUUGGGAAGGGCACGAUUAAAGGCCAGCUCAUCUAUCCUAGAGGUGGGCAAAUUGAGAACGAGGAUCUCAGAAAGCAAAAAGCCCAACUUAAAGUAAUGCAUUAUAUUUUGAACACUGAAUGUUUGACAAUACAUUUCACGGCUCAUUUCCUGCUACUUGUGAAUGCUAGUAAACACUCAGAGAGCGAAUUCACAUUUUUCAUGUCAAAUAUCCUUAUGGUUCUCCCCUCCCCCAGCUUGUCAACAGUUAAACAGGCCCCUGUGAGGACAGUCUGUUCACACUAUAAUCUUCUGCGACACUAAACCUUAAUCUGUCUUAAAAAUUUCUAUUGUUUUUCACUAAAAGGUUAUUCCAGAAAUAUUUUAUAGAGCACAUUCAUUUUCUUGGCUGAGAAUGAAUUGCAAAAUCAGAGACACUCUAACCAAUACUGAAUCUCCCUUCCCAGUCCAAAUUUAAGAAUUUCAUGCGGAUUACUCAUUGCCAUCUAUCUAGCUAAUUCAAUGUCAUUAUUUUUCUCUGGUCCAGGCAGAAUUUACCCUUCCCUGAAAUGAGCUUAUCCCAUAAGAUAUUAGUGGAAGGAGAACAAUGUUGGUGAAGUUAGAGUCCCUGAAGUCCACACAUCCACUCUCAAGCCUGGAAUUAAGGAUCUGUCAAAGUCUUCCAUUAGAAGAGAAAUUUUUUUUUUUUUUUGAGACGGAGUCUCGCUCUGUUGCCCAGGCUGGAGUGCAGUGGCAUGACCUUGGCUCACUGCAACCUCUGCCUCCCGAGUAGCUGGGACUACAGGCACCCGCCAUCAUGCCCUGCUAAUUUUUGUAUGUUUAGUAGAGUCAGAGUUUCACCAUGUUGGCUAGGCUGCCCACCUCAGCUUCCCAAAAUGGUGGGAGUACAGGCAUGAGCUACCGCACCCAGCCUGUUUUUUUUUUUUUUUUAAAUGAUUGCAACUUGCAAAUUAAUAAAACAGAGAAUCAGGAAAGAGUUUGACUUAGCAACUAGUGACCUUCCCUAAAUACUUGGUUUUGCCUUUGAUUUCAUUCCCGCACUCCAACCUUACCCUGUUCUUAGCCUAAAUCUCACUUACUAUACAGAUUACAAUUUAUCUGCCACUUCCUUUCAUAGGCUUUCUCUGUCCCAAAGACUGAGUAAGGAACUUUGUCUGAACCUCCUCAUCGUCUACUCUCAUUUCUAACAUCCUAGCAAGUCUACAUCAUGGUGCAUAUGCAGCACUGUCCAAUGGAAAUGGAUGCAAGCCAUAUGUGUAAUUUAAGAGUCUCUAGUAGCCAUUUAAAAAAAGUAAAAAUAAACAAGUAAAACUAAUUUUAACAUAUUUUCUUUAAUGGAAUAUGUCCAAAGUAAUAUCAUUUUGAUAUCUAAUCAAUAUGAAAAAUACUAAUGGCAUAUUUUACAUCCCUUCAGUAGUUCCAGUGAAUGCUUUAUAUUUACAUAUCCCUCAAUUCAUUUCCUUCUUCCCUUCCUUCCUUCCUUCUUCCCUUCCCUUCCCUUUCCCUUUCUUCCUUCCUUCCUUGCCUCCCUCCCUCCCCCUC